Thalassophryne amazonica is the source of this 1338-nucleotide long non-coding RNA. RefSeq lists it as uncharacterized. The transcript has 2 exons. Lineage: Eukaryota; Metazoa; Chordata; Actinopteri; Batrachoidiformes; Batrachoididae. The record is from RefSeq and is a predicted model, not a curated record.
CCCCCCCCUCCAACCCCCCCACACUCACGCCUAAAAUCCUUGAUGUUGAACUACAGGAGCUCUGUGGAGGAGAGAAAAAGGAACUAUGUAAAGUGUGGGACUGUGGGACUAUUAAAAACUGCUGAGAGUUGAAGAGGGAUUGCAACCCGGCAGGGACAAAAGGUGGGGGCUCAACUUUUACGACUUUUUUCACUGAGAAAAACUCUUUUUUCUUUGGAGUUUCUUAGUGGGGCUGGAGCGCAGACAGAUUUAUCUAACAUGGCUGCUGCUGUCGGCUGUCGCAACACGGCCGCCUCCCCUGCUCCUGGCCGGCUCUCCUCCUCACUACAGAGAGACGUGGAGUCUCCACAGUUAACUCUCGCGCGUGCCUCUCUCUCUCUCUCAGCUCAACAGGUUCUCCAGCUCAGAGCUGCAGGGAUAUGAAAUUACACCAAGCAGUGGAGCCACAAAGACAAACUAUAUUUGCACUUAGCCGUUUGCAAACAUCAAGGAGGCAUUAGUCAGAUGAGGAAGGGGCUGGUUCUCUGCUUGGUCAGCAACUACCGCUACAUCAACAUACCAGCCGUGACAUGUGACACAUAAAAACACAAACGGACUUAUUCAAAGGGGUACGAGCUAACCACAGGCGGAUCCUACGCGAGGAGGGAAGAUGUUUUACUCGCUCUCCAGCAGCAGGAGCCUAUGAGGUGGGCUCGUUUAAGCAUCACACGUGUCUAAACAACUUCUCUAUUACACCCGAGACCUUUGCGGGCACUCCACAUCGAGAGGGGAACAAAGGCCGUGACCCCGGGGUCAAAAGCUUUACACGGAGGGCCAAGCAGCCCCAUUCAGGGUCCCUCUGAUGUUUGCUUUAAGGAGGUAAAGAUUACUAACACAUUAACUAAUGCCGAUUAGGGGGUUAUCCCUCAUGGGACCGAGGUCCCAGCGCGGCACAUCAUGUCUUAUUAACACAAGCUGACCUUUGACCCCAUCCAUCACCUCACGCAGCAGACUGUGACCGCCACUUUCUGCUUUCACACACGCACAGAGGCGUCAGCGAGCACGAGCGCACCCGAGCACCAAUGCAGACGAGCGCCACUUCACCUCAAAAUAUCACUGCAAGGUCAAAGGUCGUCCAUCAAGUGCAGGACAGCUCAAAUCAUCAGGAAAAGCGCGACAAGUGGGAUUUCCCGAUCAAACCCGAGCCGUGUGAAAUCAUUUGCUUUCUGGGGCUUUGACGUCAGAGUGUGUGCAAGCAAAGUUCAUAAAAUGGGGUCUGUGCAAUAAACUUCUCAUCACAAAAUGGUGGCCAUGAGACAUGCGCAGUGCACAUGUCACUCACACAUCAUAUGCUCAUUA